GACGAACGCUGGCGGCAGGCCUAACACAUGCAAGUCGAGCGAGACCUUCGGGCCUAGCGGCGGACGGGUGAGUAACGCGUGGGAACGUGCCCUUUGCUACGGAAUAGCCCCGGGAAACUGGGAGUAAUACCGUAUGUGCCCUUCGGGGGAAAGAUUUAUCGGCAAAGGAUCGGCCCGCGUUGGAUUAGGUAGCUGGUGGGGUAAUGGCCUACCAAGCCGACGAUCCAUAGCUGGUUUGAGAGGAUGAUCAGCCACACUGGGACUGAGACACGGCCCAGACUUCUACGGGAGGCAGCAGUGGGGAAUCUUAGACAAUGGGGGAAACCCUGAUCUAGCCAUGCCGCGUGAGCGAUGAAGGCCUUAGGGUUGUAAAGCUCUUUCAGGUGGGAAGAUAAUGACGGUACCACCAGAAGAAGCCCCGGCUAACUCCGUGCCAGCCGCCGCAGUAA
RNAcentral lists this ribosomal RNA (449 nucleotides) under uncultured bacterium. Its description in RNAcentral is "partial 16S ribosomal RNA". It matches the Rfam family "Bacterial small subunit ribosomal RNA", at positions 28 to 523 of the family's 1533-position model. The record is from RNAcentral.